RNAcentral lists this ribosomal RNA (424 nucleotides) under uncultured prokaryote. RNAcentral's name for it is "bacterial SSU rRNA". It matches the Rfam family "Bacterial small subunit ribosomal RNA", at positions 355 to 774 of the family's 1533-position model. The record is from RNAcentral.
UUAAGAAUCUUGCACAAUGGGGGAAACCCUGAUGCAGCGACGCCGCGUGAAUGAUGAAGGUCUUCGGAUCGUAAAGUUCAAUAAGCAGGGAAGAAUAAGCAACGGGUAAUAUUCGUUGUGAUGACGGUACCUGCCUAAAGCCUCGGCUAACUACGUGCCAGCAGCCGCGGUAAUACGUAUGAGGCAAGCGUUGUUCGGAAUUAUUGGGCGUAAAGGGCAUCUAGGCGGGAUGUUAAGUUAGAUGUGAAAUCUCAGGGCUCAACCCUGAAACUGCAUUUAAAACUGGCAUUCUUGAGUUCGGAAGGGGAGAGCGGAAUUCCCGGUGUAGCGGUGAAAUGCGUAGAUAUCGGGAAGAACACCAGUGGCGAAGGCGGCUCUCUGGUCUAGAACUGACGCUGAAGUGCGAAAGCGUGGGGAGCGAACA